CCUACGGGAGGCAGCAGUGGGGAAUAUUGCACAGUGGGCACAAGCCUGAUGCAGCCAUGCCGCGUGUGUGAAGAAGGCCUUCGGGUUGUAAAGCACUUUCAGCGGGGAGGAAGGCGGUGAGGUUAAUAACCUCACCGAUUGACGUUACCCGCAGAAGAAGCACCGGCUAACUCCGUGCCAGCAGCCGCGGUAAUACGGAGGGUGCAAGCGUUAAUCGGAAUUACUGGGCGUAAAGCGCACGCAGGCGGUCUGUCAAGUCGGAUGUGAAAUCCCCGGGCUCAACCUGGGAACUGCAUUCGAAACUGGCAGGCUAGAGUCUUGUAGAGGGGGGUAGAAUUCCAGGUGUAGCGGUGAAAUGCGUAGAGAUCUGGAGGAAUACCGGUGGCGAAGGCGGCCCCCUGGACAAUGACUGACGCUCAGGUGCAAAAGCGUGGGGAGCAAACAGGAUUAGAUACCCGUGUAGUC
RNAcentral lists this ribosomal RNA (465 nucleotides) under uncultured bacterium. Its description in RNAcentral is "bacterial SSU rRNA". It matches the Rfam family "Bacterial small subunit ribosomal RNA", at positions 338 to 795 of the family's 1533-position model. The record is from RNAcentral.